UACAGAGGUGGCAAGCGUUGUUCGGAAUUACUGGGCGUAAAGGGCGCGUAGGCGGUUCGUUAAGUCCUGUGUGAAAUCCCCCGGCUCAACUGGGGAACUGCACAGGAAACUAGCGGGCUUGAGUUCGGGAGAGGGAAGCGGAAUCCCGGGUGUAGCGGUGAAAUGCGUAGAUAUCCGGAGGAACACCGGUGGCGAAGGCGGCUUCCUGGACCGACACUGACGCUGAGGCGCGAAAGCUAGGGGAGCAAACGGG
Molecule: ribosomal RNA, 253 nt
Filed under: uncultured bacterium
Lineage: Bacteria
Description: partial 16S ribosomal RNA
Rfam family: Bacterial small subunit ribosomal RNA
Source: RNAcentral